AAGUCGUAACAAGGUAACCGUAGGUGAACCUGCGGUUGGAUCAUUACCAAUAUAUUUUCUUUUUUUUCUUUUUUUUUCCCCCGCGGAAUUGUCUUGCUCGCCGGUUGGACAAAACUAUAACCUUUUUUAAAUCUUCAAUCAGCGUCUGAAUUAUACAUAAUAAUUACAACUUUCAACAACGGAUCUCUUGGUUCUG
This 196-nucleotide unclassified non-coding RNA is filed under the name Phaeosphaeria podocarpi. RNAcentral describes it as "partial internal transcribed spacer region". The stretch from base 1 to 46 matches the Rfam family "Eukaryotic small subunit ribosomal RNA", at positions 1786 to 1831 of the family's 1831-position model. The record is from RNAcentral. Lineage: Eukaryota; Fungi; Ascomycota; Dothideomycetes; Pleosporales; Phaeosphaeriaceae.